Molecule: ribosomal RNA, 462 nt
Filed under: Ozestheria cf. packardi I MS-2015
Lineage: Eukaryota; Metazoa; Arthropoda; Branchiopoda; Diplostraca; Cyzicidae
Description: partial large subunit ribosomal RNA
Rfam family: Bacterial large subunit ribosomal RNA
Source: RNAcentral
GCCUGCCCAAUGUUUCCAAUCAAUGGCCGCGGUAUUCUGACCGUGCGAAGGUAGCAUAAUCAUUAGUCUCUUAAUUAGAGGCUGGUAUGAACGGCUAAACGAGAAAAGAACUGUCUCUAGUAGAAAAAAUUGAAAUUCAUUUUUAAGUGAAAAAGCUUAAAUAUCUCUGAAGGACGAUAAGACCCUAUAGAGCUUUAUUUCCAAAAAAUCAAGUUUUAUUAGACGUCAUAAAAUUGGUCUUUAAAGAAAUUUUGUUGGGGCGACAGAAAGAUAAUAUCCAACUCUUCAUUAUUUAAACAGCUAUCGCUGAACUUUAGAUCCUUCGUGCAAGAUCAAAAGAACAAGUUACCUUAGGGAUAACAGCGUAAUCCUCUCCAAGAGUUCAUAUCGACGAAAGGGUUUGCGACCUCGAUGUUGGAUUAAGAAAUUGCUUAGGUGCAGCCGCUUAAGUAAAAGGUCUGU